UCGGAUAAGAGGCUGAAACUCGCCUCUUUGAAGUCGGAAUCGCUAGUAAUCGCAGAUCAGCAUGUUGCGGUGAAUACGUUUCCUGGUCUUGUACACACCGCCCGUCAAACCAUGAGAGUCGCCAACACCCGAAGUCCGCUUUGCGGCCUAAGGUGGGGGAGAUGAUUGGGGUUAAGUCGUAACAAGGUAAC
RNAcentral lists this ribosomal RNA (191 nucleotides) under uncultured bacterium. Its description in RNAcentral is "partial 16S ribosomal RNA". It matches the Rfam family "Bacterial small subunit ribosomal RNA", at positions 1293 to 1500 of the family's 1533-position model. The record is from RNAcentral.